GACGAACGCUGGCGGCGUGCUUAACACAUGCAAGUCGAACGGAAAGGCCCUGCUUUUGUGGGGUGCUCGUUUGGCGAACGGGUGAGUAUCACGUGAGUAACCUGCCCUUGACUUUGGGAUAACUUCAGGAAACUGGGGCUCAUACCCGGUAGGAGCUCCUGCUGCAUGGUGGGGGUUGGAAAGUUUCGGCGGUUGGGGAUGUACUCGCGGCUUAUCAGCUUGUUGGUGGGGUAGUUGCUUACCAAGGCUUUGACGGGUAGCCGGCCUGAGAGGGUGACCGGCCACAAUAGGACUGAGAUACGGACCAGACUGCUACGGGAGGCAGCAGUGGGAAAUAUUGCACAGUGGGCGGAAGCCUGAUGCAGCAACGCCGCGUGCGGGAUGACGGCCUUCGGGUUGUAAACCGAUUUCGCCUGUGACGAAGCGUGAGUGACGGUAAUGGGUAAAGAAGCACCGGCUAACUACGUG
RNAcentral lists this ribosomal RNA (468 nucleotides) under uncultured bacterium. RNAcentral's name for it is "partial 16S ribosomal RNA". It matches the Rfam family "Bacterial small subunit ribosomal RNA", at positions 28 to 507 of the family's 1533-position model. The record is from RNAcentral.